CCCUUAGAUGUUCUGGGCCGCACGCGCGCUACACUGAUGCAUUCAACGAGUCUAAAACCUGGUCUGAUAGGGCUGGGUAAUCUUUUGAAAGUGCAUCGUGAUUGGGAUAGAUGAUUGCAAUUCUUCAUCUUCAACGAGGAAUGCCUAGUAAACGCAAGUCAUCAGCUUGCAUUGAUUACGUCCCUGCCCUUUGUACACACCGCCCGUCGCUACUACCGAUUGAAUGGUUUAGUGAGGUCCUCGGACUAGUGGCGAUCGCUCGAGCUCUGCUCUGUGGUCGUUCUGCCGGGAAGACGAUCGAACUUGAUCAUUUAGAGGAAGUAAAAGUCGUAACA
This 335-nucleotide ribosomal RNA is filed under the name uncultured eukaryote. RNAcentral's name for it is "partial 18S ribosomal RNA". It matches the Rfam family "Eukaryotic small subunit ribosomal RNA", at positions 1470 to 1796 of the family's 1831-position model. The record is from RNAcentral.